This 253-nucleotide ribosomal RNA is filed under the name uncultured bacterium. Its description in RNAcentral is "partial 16S ribosomal RNA". It matches the Rfam family "Bacterial small subunit ribosomal RNA", at positions 524 to 776 of the family's 1533-position model. The record is from RNAcentral.
UACGAAGGUGGCAAGCGUUGUUCGGAUUUACUGGGCGUACAGGGAGCGUAGGCGGUUGGAUAAGCCCUCCGUGAAAUCUCCAGGCUUAACCUGGAAAGUGCAGAGGGGACUGUUCAGCUAGAGGAUGGGAGAGGAGCACGGAAUUCCCGGUGUAGCGGUGAAAUGCGUAGAGAUCGGGAGGAAGGCCGGUGGCGAAGGCGGCGCUCUGGAACAUUUCUGACGCUGAGGCUCGAAAGCGUGGGGAGCAAACAGG